Molecule: ribosomal RNA, 403 nt
Filed under: Fusobacteriota bacterium
Lineage: Bacteria; Fusobacteriati; Fusobacteriota
Description: Fusobacteria bacterium partial 16S ribosomal RNA
Rfam family: Bacterial small subunit ribosomal RNA
Source: RNAcentral
UGGGGAAUCUUGCACAAUGGGGGAAACCCUUAUGCAGCGACGCCGCGUGAGCGAUGAAGGUUUUCGAAUCGUAAAGCUCUGUCCUAUGGGAAGAUAAUGACGGUACCAUGGGAGGAAGCCCCGGCUAACUACGUGCCAGCAGCCGCGGUAAUACGGAGGGGGCGAGCGUUUUCCGGAAUUACUGGGCGUAAAGGGUUCGCAGGCGGCAUGGCAAGUCCGAUGUAAAAGGCGAAGGCUCAACCUUCGUAAGCAUCGGAAACUGUCAAGCUUGAGUGAAGGAGAGGCAAGUGGAAUUCCUAGUGUAGCGGUGGAAUGCGUAGAUAUUAGGAGGAAUACCGGUGGCGAAGGCGACUUGCUGGACUUCAACUGACGCUGAGGAACGAAAGCGUGGGUAGCAAACAGA